UACGAAGGGUGCAAGCGUUAAUCGGAAUUACUGGGCGUAAAGCGCGCGUAGGUGGUUUGUUAAGUUGGAUGUGAAAGCCCCGGGCUCAACCUGGGAACUGCAUCCAAAACUGGCAAGCGAGAGUAUGGCAGAGGGUGGUGGAAUUUCCUGUGUAGCGGUGAAAUGCGUAGAUAUAGGAAGGAACACAAGUGGCGAAGGCGAACACCUGGGCUAAUACUGACACUGAGGUGCGAAAGAGUGGGGAGACAACAGGAUUAGAUCCCCCCGUAGUCC
RNAcentral lists this ribosomal RNA (273 nucleotides) under uncultured bacterium. RNAcentral describes it as "partial 16S ribosomal RNA". It matches the Rfam family "Bacterial small subunit ribosomal RNA", at positions 524 to 796 of the family's 1533-position model. The record is from RNAcentral.